CGACUCUGGUUUCUCUUCAUUACGCAGCUUUUCGCCUUUUACUAAAGACUUCCGUGGAGAGGAACACUUACGAGUUCAACGUAUUUUUGGAAGGGCUUUGCUUCUGGCAGAGCC
Molecule: small nuclear RNA, 114 nt
Filed under: Salmo salar (Atlantic salmon)
Lineage: Eukaryota; Metazoa; Chordata; Actinopteri; Salmoniformes; Salmonidae
Description: U5 spliceosomal RNA (ENSSSAG00000095670.1)
Rfam family: U5 spliceosomal RNA
About the family: U5 RNA is a component of both types of known spliceosome.
Source: RNAcentral